RNAcentral lists this ribosomal RNA (449 nucleotides) under uncultured bacterium. RNAcentral describes it as "partial 16S ribosomal RNA". It matches the Rfam family "Bacterial small subunit ribosomal RNA", at positions 29 to 523 of the family's 1533-position model. The record is from RNAcentral.
AACGAACGCUGGCGGCAUGCCUAAUACAUGCAAGUCGAACGAGAUCUUCGGAUCUAGUGGCGCACGGGUGCGUAACGCGUGGGAAUCUGCCCUUGGGUUCGGAAUAACUUCGGGAAAUUGAAGCUAAUACCGGAUGAUGACGUAAGUCCAAAGAUUUAUCGCCCAGGGAUGAGCCCGCGUAGGAUUAGCUAGUUGGUGAGGUAAAGGCCCACCAAGGCUACGAUCCUUAGCUGGUCUGAGAGGAUGAUCAGCCACACUGGGACUGAGACACGGCCCAGACUCCGACGGGAGGCAGCAGUAGGGAAUAUUGGACAAUGGGCGAAAGCCUGAUCCAGCAAUGCCGCGUGAGCGAUGAAGGCCUUAGGGUUGUAAAGCUCUUUUACCCGAGAUGAUAAUGACAGUAUCGGGAGAAUAAGCCCCGGCUAACUCCGUGCCAGCAGCCGCCGUAA